Molecule: long non-coding RNA, 304 nt
Organism: Sinocyclocheilus anshuiensis
Lineage: Eukaryota; Metazoa; Chordata; Actinopteri; Cypriniformes; Cyprinidae
Exons: 3
Source: RefSeq, a predicted model, not a curated record
ACUGAGCAGUGAUUUCUGAAGGGUCCUUCUAGCUAGGAGCCGUGCUUUCAGGCCGCUUCACUCCAUCAAACAGCUGAUAAAACGGUCCGGAGAGAGAGAGAAAGACAGACUGCUUUGCCUGAUGUGUAUUCCAGGGCUUGUGAAAUUGACCAGAUAAACUCCAUAAAGUGUAAUAAUGGCAUCUACCAACAACCGACGCUAACCACCGAAUAUUCGACCCCCUACUGCAGUGAACUGUAAGUACUUCACUAUCUAACGACCAGCAGAUGCAAUCAGCAUGUGGAAAUCAUCUAGGCCACACACA